UACAGAGGUCUCAAGCGUUGUUCGGAUUCAUUGGGCGUAAAGGGUGCGUAGGUGGCGCCGUAAGUCAGGUGUGAAAUCCCGGGGCUCAACCCCGGAACUGCACUUGAUACUGCGGUGCUCGAGUACUGGAGAGGAGAUUGGAAUUUACGGUGUAGCAGUGAAAUGCGUAGAUAUCAGGAGGAUCACCUGUGGUGUAGACAGCUUACUGGACCAUCACUGACGCUGAGACACGAAAGCGUGGGUAGCAAACAGG
This 253-nucleotide ribosomal RNA is filed under the name uncultured bacterium. RNAcentral describes it as "partial 16S ribosomal RNA". It matches the Rfam family "Bacterial small subunit ribosomal RNA", at positions 524 to 776 of the family's 1533-position model. The record is from RNAcentral.